Molecule: ribosomal RNA, 484 nt
Filed under: Brachyspira sp.
Lineage: Bacteria; Pseudomonadati; Spirochaetota; Spirochaetia; Brachyspirales; Brachyspiraceae
Description: bacterial SSU rRNA
Rfam family: Bacterial small subunit ribosomal RNA
Source: RNAcentral
GGCCUUCGGGUUGUAAACCUCGGAAAUUAUCGAAGAAUGAGUGACAGUAGAUAAUGUAAGCCUCGGCUAACUACGUGCCAGCAGCCGCGGUAAUACGUAGGAGGCAAACGUUGCUCGGAUUUACUGGGCGUAAAGGGUGAGUAGGCGGACUUAUAAGUCUAAGGUGAAAGACCGAAGCUCAACUUCGGGAACGCCUCGGAUACUGUAAGUCUUGGAUAUUGUAGGGGAUGAUGGAAUUCUCGGUGUAGCGGUGGAAUGUGCAGAUAUCGAGAGGAACACCUAUAGCGAAGGCAGUCAUCUGGGCAUUUAUCGACGCUGAAUCACGAAAGCUAGGGGAGCAAACAGGCUUAGAUACCCUGGUAGUCCUAGCCGUAAACGUUGUACACUAGGUGCUUCUAUAUAAAUAGGAGUGCCGUAGCUAACGUCUUAAGUGUACCGCCUGAGGAGUAUGCCCGCAAGGGUGAAACUCAAAGAAAUUGACGGG